RNAcentral lists this non-coding RNA (31 nucleotides) under Mus musculus (house mouse). Lineage: Eukaryota; Metazoa; Chordata; Mammalia; Rodentia; Muridae. The record is from RNAcentral.
CAAUCAGACUUUUAAUUGUUGGUUGGCUAGC